This 709-nucleotide ribosomal RNA is filed under the name uncultured bacterium. Its description in RNAcentral is "bacterial SSU rRNA". It matches the Rfam family "Bacterial small subunit ribosomal RNA", at positions 8 to 727 of the family's 1533-position model. The record is from RNAcentral.
AGAGUUUGAUCAUGGCUCAGGAUGAACGUUGGCGGUGUGCCUAAUACAUGCAAGUCGAACGGUGACCUUUUUGUAGUAAUACGAAAUUGUCAUAGUGGCGAACGGGUGAGUAACGCGUUGGUGAUCUGCCUCGAAGUGUGGAAUAACGUUCCGAAAGGAACGCUAAUACCGCAUGUGCUCUCAGUCUUUAGAAAGUUGAGAGUAAAGGAUUUAUUCGCUUCGAGAGGAGCCUGCGUCCCAUCAGCUAGUUGGUAGGGUAAUAGCCUACCAAGGCUUUGACGGGUAGGGGACCUGAGAGGGUGGCCCCCCACAAUGGAACUGAAACACGGUCCAUACACCUACGGGUGGCAGCAGUAGGGAAUAUUAGAAAUGGACGAAAGUCUGAUCUAGCGACACCGCGUGUGCGAAGGAGGCCUUCGGGUUGUAAAGCACUUUUUGGAAGGAAUAGGAAGGAAGGUACUUCCAGAAUAAGUCUCGGCUAACUACGUGCCAGCAGCCGCGGUAACACGUAGGAGGCAAACGUUAUCCGGAUUUACUGGGCGUAAAGCGCGUGUAGGUGGUUCUGUAAGUAGGGCGUGAAAGCUCCCGGCUCAACUGGGAGAGGCCGUUCUAUACUGCAGAGCUAGAGGAUGGUAGAGGGGGGUGGAAUUCCAGGUGUAGCGGUGGAAUGCGCAGAUAUCUGGAGGAACACCAGUGGCGAAAGCGGCCU